UCCUGAAGGAACGGUUUAGACGACGACGUUGAUAGGCCGGGUGUGUAAGCGCAGCGAUGCGUUGAGCUAACCGGUACUAAUGAACCGUGAGGCUUAACCUUACAACGCCGAAG
RNAcentral lists this ribosomal RNA (113 nucleotides) under Salmonella enterica subsp. enterica serovar Enteritidis. Its description in RNAcentral is "partial 23S ribosomal RNA". The stretch from base 1 to 101 matches the Rfam family "Bacterial large subunit ribosomal RNA", at positions 2825 to 2925 of the family's 2925-position model. The record is from RNAcentral. Lineage: Bacteria; Pseudomonadati; Pseudomonadota; Gammaproteobacteria; Enterobacterales; Enterobacteriaceae.